This 75-nucleotide transfer RNA is filed under the name compost metagenome. RNAcentral's name for it is "tRNA-Arg". It matches the Rfam family "tRNA". Rfam says of the family: Transfer RNA (tRNA) molecules are approximately 80 nucleotides in length. The record is from RNAcentral.
GCCUUGGUAGCUCAGUUGGAUAGAGCAACGGUUUUCUAAACCGUGGGUCAGGGGUUCGAAUCCCUUCCGGGGUAC